GCUUACGGCCAUACCAGCCUGGGUACGCCCCGAUCUCGUUUGAUCUCGGAAGCUAAGCAGGGUCGGGCCUGGUUAGUACUUGGAUGGGAGACCGCCUGGGAAUACCAGGUGCUGUAAGCA
RNAcentral lists this ribosomal RNA (120 nucleotides) under Salmo salar (Atlantic salmon). Lineage: Eukaryota; Metazoa; Chordata; Actinopteri; Salmoniformes; Salmonidae. The record is from RNAcentral.